AGUGAACGCUGGCGGUAGGCCUAACACAUGCAAGUCGAACGGCAGCACAGUAAGAGCUUGCUCUUACGGGUGGCGAGUGGCGGACGGGUGAGGAAUACAUCGGAAUCUACUUUUUCGUGGGGGAUAACGUAGGGAAACUUACGCUAAUACCGCAUACGACCUACGGGUGAAAGCAGGGGAUCUUCGGACCUUGCGCGAUUGAAUGAGCCGAUGUCGGAUUAGCUAGUUGGCGGGGUAAAGGCCCACCAAGGCGACGAUCCGUAGCUGGUCUGAGAGGAUGAACAGCCACACUGGAACUGAGACACGGUCCAGACUCCUACGGGAGGCAGCAGUGGGGAAUAUUGGACAAAGGGCGCAAGCCUGAUCCAGCCAUACCGCGUGGGUGAAGAAGGCCUUCGGGUUGUAAAGCCCUUUUGUUGGGAAAGAAAGGCAGCAGGUUAAUACCCCGCUGUUCUGACGGUACCCAAAGAAUAAGCACCGGCUAACUUCGUG
This 492-nucleotide ribosomal RNA is filed under the name uncultured bacterium. Its description in RNAcentral is "partial 16S ribosomal RNA". It matches the Rfam family "Bacterial small subunit ribosomal RNA", at positions 29 to 507 of the family's 1533-position model. The record is from RNAcentral.